Molecule: ribosomal RNA, 83 nt
Filed under: Portulaca oleracea
Lineage: Eukaryota; Viridiplantae; Streptophyta; Magnoliopsida; Caryophyllales; Portulacaceae
Description: partial 5.8S ribosomal RNA
Rfam family: 5.8S ribosomal RNA
About the family: 5.8S ribosomal RNA (5.8S rRNA) is a component of the large subunit of the eukaryotic ribosome.
Source: RNAcentral
UGCAGAAUCCCGUGAACCAUCGAGUCUUUGACGCAAGUUGCGCCCGAAGCCUUCUGGCUGAGGGCACGUCUGCCUGGGCGUCA